UUCGGAAUCACUGGGCUUAAAGGGUGCGUAGGCGGGCUGCCAAGUUUGAGGUGAAAUCCUCCGGCUCAACCGGGGAAGUGCCUUGAAUACUGGCGGUCUGGAGGGAGGUAGGGGCGUGCGGAACUAACGGUGGAGCGGUGAAAUGCGUUGAUAUCGUUAGGAACUCCGGUGGCGAAGGCGGCACGCUAGACCUCUUCUGACGCUGAGGCACGAAAGCCAGGGGAGCGAACGGG
Molecule: ribosomal RNA, 233 nt
Filed under: uncultured bacterium
Lineage: Bacteria
Description: partial 16S ribosomal RNA
Rfam family: Bacterial small subunit ribosomal RNA
Source: RNAcentral